UAUCUCUGUAGAGUCUGCAUAUCAAUAAGCGGAGGAAAAGAAACUAACAAGGAUUCCCCUAGUAACGGCGAGUGAAGCGGGAAGAGCUCAAAUUUGAAAUCUUAAAGGGUUUCCCUUUACGAAUUGUAGUUUAAAGAAGUGUUUUCUGUUGAGGUUUUGGUAAAAGUUCUUUGGAAUAGGACAUCAUAGAGGGUGAGAAUCCCGUAUUUGACCUUUUACUUUCAACUUUGUGAUACACUUUCUAAGAGUCGGAUUGUUUGGGAAUGCAGUCCAAAAUGGGUGGUAAAUUUCAUCUAAAGCUAAAUAUUGGCGAGAGACCGAUAGCGAACAAGUACCGUGAGGGAAAGAUGAAAAGAACUUUGAAAAGAGAGUUAAACAGUACGUGAAAUUGUCAAAAGGGAAGCGUUUGACACCAGUGUUGUUUUUCUGAAAAUCAAUUAAAGAACUGUUUAUGCUAAGUUGUUUAGACUUUAUCAGCUAACUGUCUAGUUUUGAGCUUUUCUUUAAUGCACUUUUCAGUUAACAAGUCAACAUCAAUUUCUUUUGUUGUAAAAAGGUCAUUGAGGAAGGUGGCUUGCGAUUCGGAUAAGUGUUUAUAGCCUCUUGCCUCUGCAGUCGGAGAGAUUGAGGUCUGCAGCGUAGAUCCUUCGGGGUAAAUAGCAUUUGUGCUAAGUUAUAGCCUUUUCAUAGACAACUUGUUGACUAUGAUCUGUCAUGUAGCUUACUCGCUUAUGCUAUUUUACCUACGCUUAGGAUGUUGACGAUCAGCUGAGCGCG
This 777-nucleotide ribosomal RNA is filed under the name uncultured Neocallimastigales. Its description in RNAcentral is "partial large subunit ribosomal RNA". It matches the Rfam family "Eukaryotic large subunit ribosomal RNA", at positions 24 to 635 of the family's 3401-position model. Lineage: Eukaryota; Fungi; Neocallimastigomycota; Neocallimastigomycetes; Neocallimastigales. The record is from RNAcentral.